AGCGGCGGACGGGUGAGUAACGCGUGGGUAACCUGCCUCAUACAGGGGGAUAACAGUUGGAAACGGCUGCUAAUACCGCAUAAGCGCACAGUACCGCAUGGUACGGUGUGAAAAAACUCCGGUGGUAUGAGAUGGACCCGCGUCUGAUUAGCUAGUUGGUGGGGUAACGGCCUACCAAGGCGACGAUCAGUAGCCGACCUGAGAGGGUGACCGGCCACAUUGGGACUGAGACACGGCCCAA
RNAcentral lists this ribosomal RNA (241 nucleotides) under uncultured bacterium. Its description in RNAcentral is "partial 16S ribosomal RNA". It matches the Rfam family "Bacterial small subunit ribosomal RNA", at positions 94 to 334 of the family's 1533-position model. The record is from RNAcentral.